AACCUCCGCAAUGUACGAAAGUGCGACGGGGGGAUCCCAAGUGUUAUGCUUAAAGGUAUGACUUUUCAUUAGUGUAAAAAGCUUUUAGAAUAAGAGCUGGGCAAGACCGGUGCCAGCCGCCGCAGUAACACCGGCAGCUCGAGUGGUAGCUGUUUUUAUUGGGCCUAAAGCGUUCGUAGCCGGUUUAAUAAGUCUUUGGUGAAAGCUUGUAGCUUAACUAUAAGAAUUGCUGGAGAUACUACUGGACUUGAAGUCGGGAGAGGUUAGAGGUACUACCGGGGUAGGGGUGAAAUCCUAUAAUCCUGGGAGGACCACCUGUGGCGAAGGCGUCUAACUGGAACGAUCUUGACGGUGAGUAACGAAAGCCAGGGGCGCGAACCGGAUUAGAUACCCGGGUAGUCCUGGCCGUAAACGAUGUGGACUUGGUGUUGGAAUGGCUUUGAGUUGUCCGGUGCCGAAGGGAAGCUGUUAAGUCCACCGCCUGGGAAAUACGGUCGCAAGAUUGAAACUUAAAGGAAUU
RNAcentral lists this ribosomal RNA (520 nucleotides) under uncultured bacterium. Its description in RNAcentral is "bacterial SSU rRNA". It matches the Rfam family "Archaeal small subunit ribosomal RNA", at positions 345 to 866 of the family's 1478-position model. The record is from RNAcentral.